Podarcis lilfordi (Lilford's wall lizard) is the source of this 73-nucleotide non-coding RNA. NCBI's taxonomy places the organism in Eukaryota, Metazoa, Chordata, Lepidosauria, Squamata, Lacertidae. The record is from the annotation of a GenBank genome assembly.
GGUAGCUCAGCAGUAGCAGUAGAGCAUCAGUAUUGCAUGCAGAAGAUCCCAGGUUCGAUACCUGGCAUCUCCU